RNAcentral lists this ribosomal RNA (976 nucleotides) under Escherichia coli. RNAcentral's name for it is "partial 23S ribosomal RNA". It matches the Rfam family "Bacterial large subunit ribosomal RNA", at positions 164 to 1180 of the family's 2925-position model. Lineage: Bacteria; Pseudomonadati; Pseudomonadota; Gammaproteobacteria; Enterobacterales; Enterobacteriaceae. The record is from RNAcentral.
CCAUAGGUUAAUGAGGCGAACCGGGGGAACUGAAACAUCUAAGUACCCCGAGGAAAAGAAAUCAACCGAGAUUCCCCCAGUAGCGGCGAGCGAACGGGGAGGAGCCCAGAGCCUGAAUCAGUGUGUGUGUUAGUGGAAGCGUCUGGAAAGGCGCGCGAUACAGGGUGACAGCCCCGUACACAAAAAUGCACAUAUUGUGAGCUCGAUGAGUAGGGCGGGACACGUGGUAUCCUGUCUGAAUAUGGGGGGACCAUCCUCCAAGGCUAAAUACUCCUGACUGACCGAUAGUGAACCAGUACCGUGAGGGAAAGGCGAAAAGAACCCCGGCGAGGGGAGUGAAAAAGAACCUGAAACCGUGUACGUACAAGCAGUGGGAGCCUCUUAAUGGGGUGACUGCGUACCUUUUGUAUAAUGGGUCAGCGACUUAUAUUCUGUAGCAAGGUUAACCGAAUAGGGGAGCCGAAGGGAAACCGAGUCUUAACUGGGCGUUAAGUUGCAGGGUAUAGACCCGAAACCCGGUGAUCUAGCCAUGGGCAGGUUGAAGGUUGGGUAACACUAACUGGAGGACCGAACCGACUAAUGUUGAAAAAUUAGCGGAUGACUUGUGGCUGGGGGUGAAAGGCCAAUCAAACCGGGAGAUAGCUGGUUCUCCCCGAAAGCUAUUUAGGUAGCGCCUCGUGAAUUCAUCUCCGGGGGUAGAGCACUGUUUCGGCAAGGGGGUCAUCCCGACUUACCAACCCGAUGCAAACUGCGAAUACCGGAGAAUGUUAUCACGGGAGACACACGGCGGGUGCUAACGUCCGUCGUGAAGAGGGAAACAACCCAGACCGCCAGCUAAGGUCCCAAAGUCAUGGUUAAGUGGGAAACGAUGUGGGAAGGCCCAGACAGCCAGGAUGUUGGCUUAGAAGCAGCCAUCAUUUAAAGAAAGCGUAAUAGCUCACUGGUCGAGUCGGCCUGCGCGGAAGAUGUAACGGGG